Molecule: ribosomal RNA, 481 nt
Filed under: uncultured bacterium
Lineage: Bacteria
Description: partial 16S ribosomal RNA
Rfam family: Bacterial small subunit ribosomal RNA
Source: RNAcentral
GAUGAACGCUGGCGGCGUGCUUAACACAUGCAAGUCGAACGAAGCACUUUAUUUGAUUUCCUUCGGGACUGAUUAUUUUGUGACUGAGUGGCGGACGGGUGAGUAACGCGUGGGUAACCUGCCUUGUACAGGGGGAUAACAGUUGGAAACGGCUGCUAAUACCGCAUAAGCGCACGGCAUCGCAUGAUGCAGUGUGAAAAACUCCGGUGGUAUAAGAUGGACCCGCGUUGGAUUAGCUAGUUGGUGAGGUAACGGCCCACCAAGGCGACGAUCCAUAGCCGACCUGAGAGGGUGACCGGCCACAUUGGGACUGAGACGCGGCCCAAACUCCUACGGAAGGCAGCAGUGGGGAAUAUUGCACAAUGGGCGAAAGCCUGAUGCAGCGACGCCGCGUGAGCGAAGAAGUAUUUCGGUAUGUAAAGCUCUAUCAGCAGGGAAGAUAAUGACGGUACCUGACGAAGAAGCACCGGCUAAAUACGUG